CACUAAGUGGGAGGUAAACUCCUUCUAAAGCUAAAUAUCGCCAUGAGACCGAUAGAAGACAAGUACCGUGAGGGAAAGUUGAAAAGCACUCUGAAUAGAGAGUCAAAUAGUACGUGAAACUGCCUAGGGGACGCAAACCUGUUGAACUCAAUGAUCCGAGCGGCGAUAUUCAGUGGUGGUCGACUCCUGACCGGGUCGGCUGCCGUGCACUUAUCGGUCCGCAGUAACGGACAUCGCGAUCCAUUACAAUGGUGUAUUCGGGCAAUGGCCCCUGACUCGUGGUAGGCGGCUCUUCAGUAAGGUGGCUCGGCGGCCAUCCUGAGCAGGAGUCUCCGCGACCUUCUAACCGAGGGGCGCAGGGCCCGACCGAGUCUGGUGUGCCGCUGGAAGUGUGAUGGAUUGGUAUGAGCGGGGUGUCGAGUGAGUGGUCUUUAGCCGGAGACCCGAUAAACACUCGCCCUCGAUCGGUGAUGACGCAUUAUGCAUUGAGGAACCUUCGGGA
Molecule: ribosomal RNA, 502 nt
Filed under: Anopheles aconitus
Lineage: Eukaryota; Metazoa; Arthropoda; Insecta; Diptera; Culicidae
Description: eukaryotic LSU rRNA
Rfam family: Eukaryotic large subunit ribosomal RNA
Source: RNAcentral